CACGUAGGGGGCAAGCGUUGUCCGGAUUUAUUGGGCGUAAAGAGCUCGUAGGCGGCUUAGUAAGUCGGGUGUGAAACCUCCAGGCUCAACCUGGAGACGCCACCCGAUACUGCUGUGGCUAGAGUCCGGUAGGGGAGCGUGGAAUUCCAGGUGUAGCGGUGAAAUGCGUAGAUAUCUGGAGGAAUACCGGUGGCGAAGGCGGCAUCCUGGACCAUUACUGACGCUGAGGCGCGAAAGCUAGGGGAGCAAACGGG
This 254-nucleotide ribosomal RNA is filed under the name uncultured bacterium. Its description in RNAcentral is "partial 16S ribosomal RNA". It matches the Rfam family "Bacterial small subunit ribosomal RNA", at positions 524 to 776 of the family's 1533-position model. The record is from RNAcentral.